UUCCUUCCACAGUCCUUGGGAUGGAUGGAAAAGUGGUUGGGGGCGGGAAUAAAGGGAGGGGGAAAGGGUCAGCGGCGACAGGAUUCGGCCCGGGCGAGGGCCAAGGGCAGUUCUCGCGAGAGCUCGAAGUCAACGUGGCGGCGGCGGUUGAGGCGGCGCUUCGUUCGUCGGCCGGAGAUGAAGCCCAGGCCCGGACGCCUCGUGGACCGCAGGCUGAAGCAGCGGAUCGUCCAGUACUUAACCAGUCACAGAUAUGACAAAUAUGUGGACAUUGGAGUCUUAGCAGCUGAUUUGCAAAGAAUGUACAGUGUAGACUACGGUAGAAGAAAAAGAAAUGCCUUUCGAAUUCAAGUAGAAAAAGUGUUCGGCAUAGUCAAUAGUGAGAGAGAACUUGAAGGCCUAACAAGGUUGGAAGAUGAGCAUUUGGCAAAAAGAGCAAAGCAAACACAUGAGAAUAAUGAAUGCGUUGAAAGCUAUUCAGAUGACGACUCAGAUGCUGAAGAUUAUCCAGAUCAUCCAUCCAGAAAUCACAUGAACAGCUCUUUACUGUCCUUAUACCGUAAAGAAAAUGUAGACUCUGUUCCAGCAACAUCUGUUACUGAGCCAGCAGCCAACAACAGCCCAACAUCAUUGGCCACCCCUAAAAGAGAUUCCUCCCUGCCAAAGAUCCCUGCUUUUACCAAGGUCUCUGAAGGUGGUUGGUUCAUUGACAGAACCCCAGGUGGAAAAGAAGACAAUUUCUUUGAUCUUUCAGAGGAGGAUGAAGGUGAUCAUAAAAAGUUGGCUUCAGAGAGAGAAAGGAAAAAAAAGGGUAGGCUGAAGAGAGGGAAAAGAAGGCAGGAAACCCUUCAGGAAGUGGAUGGAGAAAUAGAAGAUGUUUUGCGAAAGAAAGCUAAAUCCACAGGGCUACAGCUGCAGAUCUCUGCUUUGAAGUUUGAAGAUGUGGGAGGCAAUGAUGCAACCCUAAAGGAAGUAUGCAAGAUGCUGAUCCAUAUGCGUCAUCCUGAAGUAUACCACCACUUGGGUGUGGUUCCACCUAGGGGAUUUCUUUUGCAUGGACCACCGGGGUGUGGAAAAACAUUACUUGCACAGGCAAUUGCUGGGGAACUUGACUUGCCAAUUCUCAAAAUAGCUGCUACGGAGAUUGUAUCCGGAGUAUCUGGAGAAUCUGAACAGAAGCUGAGAGAGCUCUUUGAACAAGCUGUGUCAAGUGCACCGUGUAUCCUAUUUAUUGAUGAGAUUGAUGCUAUCACUCCAAAAAGAGAAGUUGCUUCAAAAGAUAUGGAAAGGAGAAUUGUAGCCCAGCUUCUAACCUGCAUGGAUGACCUGAAUAGCUUGGCUGCUACUGCUCAGGUCCUGGUCAUUGGGGCGACAAACAGACCGGACUCACUGGACCCUGCACUGAGACGAGCUGGAAGAUUUGACCGAGAGAUUUGCCUAGGAAUUCCGGAUGAGGCAUCUAGGGAAAGAAUUCUUCAGACAUUGUGCAGAAAGCUGAGGCUCCCCCAGUCUUUUGACUUUCACCACUUAGCCCAUCAGACACCGGGCUAUGUUGGUGCUGACCUUAUGGCACUGUGUCGGGAAGCAGCUAUGUGUGCUGUGAACAGAGUCCUAAUAAACCUCGGGGAGCAGAAGGGGCAGCAUUUACAGGCAGGAGGUUCAUCUUGUGAAGGAGACCAGGCCGCGUUGAUGGAAACUGAGGAGGGGGUCAAGAAGGCAGAGCUUUCUGUACAGGGUGAAUUACAAAAGCUGCUGGAGUUGCUAAAGGAGCAAAGCCCCCUCCUCGAGGAACAGCUGCAAAUGCUGUGCAUUGAGAUGAAUGAUUUCACUGUUGCUCUGUCCUCAGUUCAGCCCUCUGCCAAGAGAGAAGGCUUUGUCACUGUCCCCAAUGUGACAUGGGCAGAUAUUGGGGCUCUAGAAGAUAUCCGCGAGGAGCUCACUAUGGCCAUAUUGGCUCCUGUGCGUAACCCAGAGCAGUUUAAAGCCCUUGGAUUACUGGCCCCUGCUGGGAUCCUUCUUGCUGGUCCACCUGGCUGUGGUAAAACCCUACUAGCAAAGGCAGUGGCAAAUGAGUCUGGACUGAAUUUCAUUUCUGUGAAAGGUCCUGAGUUACUAAAUAUGUACGUUGGUGAGAGCGAGCGUGCUGUGAGACAGGUUUUCCAGCGAGCCAGGAACUCUGCACCCUGCGUGAUAUUCUUUGAUGAAGUAGAUGCCUUGUGCCCUCGACGGUCAGACCGAGAGUCAGGUGCCAGUGUCCGAGUGGUUAAUCAGCUGCUUACAGAGAUGGAUGGACUGGAGACACGGCAGCAGGUUUUCAUUAUGGCAGCCACCAACCGGCCAGAUAUUAUUGACCCAGCUAUCCUUCGUCCUGGCCGCCUGGAUAAAACACUUUUUGUGGGCUUACCACCUCCUGCAGAUCGUUUUGCCAUCCUAAGAACCAUCACAAAAUAUGGUACUAGACCCCCACUGGAUAUCGACGUGAGCCUGGAAGAGAUUGCUUAUGACCCACGCUGUGAUUGCUAUACAGGGGCCGAUCUCUCCGCUCUAAUUCGGGAAGCUUCUGUCUGUGCCUUGAAGCAGGAAAUGGCAAGCCAGAAAAGCGGGAAUGUUAAAGGAGAAAUCAAGAUUGGCCAAAAGCAUUUUCAGGAAGCUUUUAAGAAAGUAAAAUCUUCAGUAUCAAAAAAGGGGGGUUCUUGAGGAAGGACGGUUGAAAAAGCCAGUUCAUCAGAGUGAUUUGAACCAAGACAGAUUCAGAUCAUGAAAAUUUGAGUAGCCAGACAUAAUGAGAUUUGCUUCUCUAACUGGAUCGAGUGAUGUAUGAAUCCCUGCGGCAGUCCCUGAGCCGGUGAUAUCCAGGACCAGGUGAUCUCCAAAGGAAAACGGUGACAUUGUUCCAUCUCCAAAGAAAAGCGGUGAUAUUGUUCCAUCAGGGACACCCGGCACCAGCUGGGCCGGGGACACCCUUUCCCUCUUCCCGGCCCCAGGCCCCCAGGGGAGCAUUUUAACACCAAAUGAUGAGAACCAACUGCAGCCGAAGCUUCCUCUGGGAGCCAAACAGAACCUCCUCCAGAAGCAGGCUGUCAUUUCACUUUUGAGAAAAGUAAAAACUGAACUGAAAGCAA
Ornithorhynchus anatinus (platypus) is the source of this 3122-nucleotide RNA transcript. It is a transcript of the gene named nuclear VCP like, with no coding region annotated. The transcript is spliced from 24 exons. The record is from RefSeq and is a predicted model, not a curated record. Lineage: Eukaryota; Metazoa; Chordata; Mammalia; Monotremata; Ornithorhynchidae.